This 248-nucleotide unclassified non-coding RNA is filed under the name fungal sp. RNAcentral describes it as "partial internal transcribed spacer region". The stretch from base 1 to 46 matches the Rfam family "Eukaryotic small subunit ribosomal RNA", at positions 1786 to 1831 of the family's 1831-position model. The record is from RNAcentral. Lineage: Eukaryota; Fungi.
AAGUCGUAACAAGGUUUCCGUAGGUGAACCUGCGGAAGGAUCAUUAAUGAAUUUAACGGUCUCUCUGAGACCAUCAUAUUCACAUUCACCUGUGCUCCCAUUUCCUUUGAGAGGGGGAAGUGGCUUGCUUUUUCCUUUGGAGAUUUAGAAUUGUCAAGCAAAAAAGCCCUAGAAUAAACCUGAUUUACACAGGCAAGUUCAAGGCAAUACAAAAAUUAAAACUAUGAACAACGGAUCUCUUGGCUCUU